AAAAAAAAGAGAAAAGAAAAAAAGAGAGUUAAAAGUAUUUACCAAA
This 46-nucleotide small RNA is filed under the name Arabidopsis thaliana (thale cress). RNAcentral describes it as "ATSL046340". The record is from RNAcentral. Lineage: Eukaryota; Viridiplantae; Streptophyta; Magnoliopsida; Brassicales; Brassicaceae.